Molecule: ribosomal RNA, 198 nt
Filed under: uncultured bacterium
Lineage: Bacteria
Description: partial 16S ribosomal RNA
Rfam family: Bacterial small subunit ribosomal RNA
Source: RNAcentral
ACGCUCGACACCUACGAGGCAGCAGUGGGGAAUAUUGCACAAUGGGGGAAACCCUGAUGCAGCGACGCCGCGUGAGCGAAGAAGUAUUUCGGUAUGUAAAGCUCUAUCAGCAGGGAAGAAACUGACGGUACCUGACUAAGAAGCACCGGCUAAAUACGUGCCAGCAGCCGACGGUAAUCUGAGCGGGCUGGACAAGGC